AUUGAAAUGUAAUUAUUAUGUGAUUGCAAUGUUCAAAAUUUGGUGUUUAAUCUGGAUUCAUGUUGUGUUGUCGCCACCUACUGGUGGACCUGAGUGUGGCGCUUUGUGGUGCGCAUGCUUUGAGGUGAUGUUCAAUUAAGCGCACAUGUCACCAGAGACUGAAGGCUCGAGACAGAAAGAGCAGGCUGGCUUGUGUAAAAGGUGAAAAUAUGGACGAUAUGGACGACAAUUGCUCCUGAAUGUUCAGUAGAAAGGCGCACACGUUUUUCACGGUGUUUGCUGGUGAAAAGAAGAUUAAAAUACUGGUUAAACAUCAGUUGGAGCAUGGCCCUUUAUUCUACUUCGAACAUGAAAACCCUUCAGGAGCAGUUAUAAUCUGGAGGAUUCAGAAACAUUCAAAGGUAUUUUAAACUGCAGCCACUGCUCUCCUCAGUCCCACUAUGGCUGGACUGAAGGUCUCAAAGGGAGCAGUGCACGGAGAUCAGGAUCACUCGGGUCCAAACACAGUCGUAGCAGACACACAGAUGUGGGUGACCUGUGGCGCUGUGUGGGCGGGGCGAGCCACAUGUGUCUGAAGGUCUCCUCACAGAAAAGCCAUCGAAGGGCCAAAGUGCUGUGAGUCUUGAUCCUUCAUUUAUGACUAAAAUAAAUGUGGAAGGUGGAGGUGGGAAGAGACUGAGGACACGAGUAACAACAAUAAAAUCAAGAGAGAAAUAAAACACAUCAAAUCAACAAAAUUAAUUUUAUAAUGGGAACAAAAAUGAAGUCAAAACAGGAACCACAGACUAAAGUGACCCAAGCAGAACAGAAAUAAUCAUCACAGUGAGACAGCACUCUGAACAUCUGUCACAUUUUCAUCUAAACUGUGAAAUAAACAGAAAGUUGGAGGAUUUAGAAACCUUAAAUAUAUUUCAUAUUGUUCAUUAUUUAAAUGUCUGAAAUCAGACUGA
Molecule: long non-coding RNA, 950 nt
Organism: Oreochromis niloticus (Nile tilapia)
Lineage: Eukaryota; Metazoa; Chordata; Actinopteri; Cichliformes; Cichlidae
Exons: 3
Source: RefSeq, a predicted model, not a curated record